GAUAAACGCUGGCGGCGCACAUAAGACAUGCAAGUUGAACGGACUUAAUCGAAAUAUUUAUAUUUUGAAGCGGUUAGUGGCGGACUGGUGAGUAACGCGUAAGGAACCUGCCUAUUAGAGGGGAAUAACAGUGAGAAAUCAUUGCUAAUACCGCAUAUGCCAUAGAUAUCACAUGAUAACAGUGGGAAAGGAGCAAUCCGCUAAUAGAUGGCCUUGCGUCUGAUUAGAUAGUUGGUGGGGUAACGGCCUACCAAGUCGACGAUCAGUAGCCGGACUGAGAGGUUGAACGGCCACAUUGGGACUGAGAUACGGCCCAGACUCCUACGGGAGGCAGCAGUCGGGAAUAUUGCGCAAUGGAGGAAACUCUGACGCAGUGACGCCGCGUACAGGAAGAAGGUUUUCGGAUUGUAAACUAUUGUCGUUAGGGAAGAGAAAGGACAGUACCUAAGGAGGAAGCUCCGGCUAACUACGU
RNAcentral lists this ribosomal RNA (472 nucleotides) under uncultured bacterium. RNAcentral's name for it is "partial 16S ribosomal RNA". It matches the Rfam family "Bacterial small subunit ribosomal RNA", at positions 28 to 506 of the family's 1533-position model. The record is from RNAcentral.